UAUUAAAAGUGCCUAUCUAACGGCAUUUCUUGGUUUAACAGAAUAUACUUUACAAAUAAAAGAAUAUUCUGUUAAAUUUAACCCCAAAAGCUUUUAACGCCGUUAACUUUAACUUUAACUUUAACGCCAUUCCGUUAACCAUUCUUCUCUUUCACGCUAUUUUCAAUUGGUCCCAAUUAGAAUUUUACUCUCAAUUCCAAUCGAGUUAAACUCAGAAUCUGGCGAUCGAUUAAACUCAGAAUUUUACCUUUUUUUUCUAUUUUUAUGCAUCUUUUUCUCACUACUGGCACUAUCAACCCACUAUUUUAUCGUCCUCCUCCAUAGGCGGCAACUUUAUUGAUUUCGGCACCAAUAACUUUCUUGGAAGGGUUUCGCGAGUCGAUCACCUUGCCUAUGGCUGAGAUUUCGACAACCGGUCAACCGGCGCCCACCGACCGGUUGUUAAAUGGAAGAAUCCCGGUUGAUUAUUUUGAAGGAUGGUUCUCUGAAGCUUCUAUAAACAGGCAGGAUAAUAUAUAUCAUAUAUAAUUGUAUAUGAAGAAUUUAGAUAAAUGGGUUUAUUUAAAAUUCCAUUAGGUAGAUAGUGAGGUUUUGAGAGCUUCCAUCUUGGGCAAUGGCACCUUUAGAUUUCACUCAUAAUGCGAUUCUUAACUAUCUUAAGCACAUAAGAAGAAACUGGCUUGAAGAACAUUCUGCCUCUGCCACCCAGUAACUAUCUUUCUCUACACAUUAUGCAUUUUAAAUUAACAUGUUUUGACAUAAUUUUAGAGUUUAUAAUUUAGAAAACAAUGAAUCUUGGCAUCCAUACAAUAUAUGUGUGUUUGUUUGUAUUUAUGUCAUGCAACAACUCUAUCGUUUCACUGUUUGCUUACCCUUUUUAUCUGGUAAGUGAUCUCAGUUCUAGCUUUUCCUCUCUCAUUCCAUUUGUUUGUUACUUUACUAGCUUCUUAUCUUGUGGCUUUGGUAUCAUUUAUAGUGGAGUCAAAGUCCUAGAAAGAGUGUUCUUAUUUUGAUUCAAACAGUGACUAAUUGCUUGUUGCAAGUGAAAGAAAAGAUAUUGCAACUUGGACAACCAUGGUUGCUCUGCUCGGUGUGCUUUCCUUUGUAAUGGGUCCUGUUCAAAUCAUUAAGCUAUUUAUAGGGCUGCUUUUUCUUUUCUUUAUGGUUAAUACAGUUGCUUUUACUUUGGAUGAAAAUUUCUCUUGUUUUUCAAUUCUGAUACCUUCCAAAUACAAAUUUGUCAUGUGGUUGGACUUGGUCACUUACUUGCAUUACUAUGUGGCCACGAGGACAAACUUCCAUGGUUAUUGAAAAUGAAUACACAUACAUAAAUAAUAUACAUUUUGUUUUAGUACUAAACUACCUCUCUGAUUAUCAAUGUGUUGCUUAGGUACUUAGGUUUAUUAAUUUUUUGUUUAAGCAAAAAACAGUUAUAUAUGUUGUAGGUGGUAUAUGAUUUCCAUUAGUAUAAUAUAAAUAGUCAAUCAAUAUGAAUAUAUAAAUUUUUACUACUGCUAAUUUUAUCUAAGUUCAAUCUAAACAAUAAAAAAUGUUGAGCAAUUCAAUCGAUUCUUUCAACUGAGGUUAAAAAAAAAAGGUAGAGUGAAAUGUAGCAGAGGAAAAGGGAUGGUGUUGGCCCAUUCAAUGGGUAAGAUGCCUUCUGGUAAUAUCUUAACUUUCACUUUGUUAUUUAGUAUUUAUAGGUAUUAUAUUGCUUUUUUUCUUUUUUGUUCUAAAAAUCUCAACUUAAUGCUCGAUUUGAGUUUGUUAGUGAAAAGGCUUAUUUCCUUAAUCUAAUUUCUUAACUUCUCUUAAUUUAGUUGACGAUUCACUCAAAUGGUUGUUUUUAUGUGUUUCUUAAUUUGUAUUGACUUUGAACUAAACAUAACAUCACUUACAAAUUGUAUCAUUUCUUAACUGUGAAUUAGGGAGUGACUACUUACUGAUUGUUUUUGAGUUAUUAUCAAUUGUCACUCUGUAGAUAGCCACUGGUUGAGAUUCCAUUAUAUCUUAGAUAUAGUUUUUAAUAUCUUUAUUGAAUUAGUGCUUCGUAAUCACUCCCACUUGUUGCGGAAAUGGGUCCAAGAGCUUUCUUAUUGAUGAAAAAGUAUAAUCUUAUUUUUCUUAUAAGCAUCUCAACGAUUAUACCAAGUUUUAUAAAAAGAAUUUAAAAUACAUACAUUUGAACUAUUUUUGGUUCUUAAUUUUCAUCUUUAUUUUUUAUUACUUAUCUUUAUUUUUGAUACUGGGUGAAAUUUUGUUAGUUUAGAUCUCCAUCUCUGUGUACUACUCUGUAUUCUUUGAUUAAGAAUGUGAAAGUACAUUUGAUUUAAUUCAUCUAUUAUUCUUUUGCUGAGAAAUUCAAUUAAUCUAUUAUUGCUUUUACUUUUAUUUUUUAUUGUUUGAAAAUUUAAGGUUUUAAUUUCAUUGUAGAAGUUAAAGAGAUGAUAAAACGAAGAAUAUGCAAAGAAUGAGGACCUUCAAAAGAUUAAACUGACAUCAUCACUGCUAUUUUUGGGACACUUGAUUAUUAUUUGGCUCUUGAGUAAAUUUUUAGUGGCAAGUGGUCCGAGAAGGCAAGUGUUUAUAGUUUUAGAAUUCUUGUCUUUUAAGUAGUAUGUGGAAGAAAGAACAAUUCUUCCAAUAAAAGUCCAAACCCCUGUUGUGCAGAUGGUAAGCUCUUUGUUUCAAACAUAGGUUAAAGACGGUCAUAAAUAAUGUGAUAAAGACCAUUAUGUAAAGGUUUGGAGCCAUUAUGGAAGCAGUACACUUGGUGAAUUAGUUGAUCCAAGCCUAGGA
Cannabis sativa is the source of this 2799-nucleotide long non-coding RNA. RefSeq lists it as uncharacterized. NCBI's taxonomy places the organism in Eukaryota, Viridiplantae, Streptophyta, Magnoliopsida, Rosales, Cannabaceae. The record is from RefSeq and is a predicted model, not a curated record. The transcript has 3 exons.